RNAcentral lists this transfer-messenger RNA (396 nucleotides) under Flavobacteriaceae. RNAcentral's name for it is "Seonamhaeicola sp004358095 Standard tmRNA". It matches the Rfam family "transfer-messenger RNA". From Rfam's summary of the family: Bacterial tmRNA, also known as 10Sa RNA or SsrA, is named for its dual tRNA and mRNA-like properties. Lineage: Bacteria; Pseudomonadati; Bacteroidota; Flavobacteriia; Flavobacteriales. The record is from RNAcentral. RNAcentral also lists the same sequence under 1 other name.
GGGGUCGACUGGUUUUGACAGCGAGAUUAAUUAAACGGUAAGCACGUGGUGUAAUGAUUUUGAAACACCUUAAAGGCUAAAUCAAACUUUAAACGGCGAAAAUAAUUACGCUUUAGCUGCUUAAUAACUGAAUUAUAGUAAGUUCAAGCCCAGGUACACAAGGUGUACAAGCUAAAUGUCUCUUGAAAGCCUUGGUUUAUGGCGUUCUUAUUAGAGGCAUCGUAAAAAUAAACUAAGAUUAGGUAAUGCUUUGAUACCUUUUCGAGAUUUAAAAGCUAAGCAAUAAGUAGGUAGUUUUUAGCCGGCUUAUUGUCGAAAACCAAAUAAAAACUAAACGUGUAGAAAGCCCUUUAAUUACUUGUUUGGACCCGAGUUCGAAUCUCGGCGACUCCACUU